This is a long non-coding RNA of Mercurialis annua (annual mercury), 746 nucleotides long. RefSeq lists it as uncharacterized. NCBI's taxonomy places the organism in Eukaryota, Viridiplantae, Streptophyta, Magnoliopsida, Malpighiales, Euphorbiaceae. The record is from RefSeq and is a predicted model, not a curated record. The transcript has 2 exons.
GGUGUGCAAAAACCGACCGAAACCGAAUUUCCGAACCGAACCGAACCGAUUUUGAAAAUUCGGUUCGGUUUUUCGGUUUUUCGGUUCGGUUCGGUUUAAAUAAAUAAAUUUUUUGAAUAUUUCGGUUCGGUUCGGUUUGAGUGAAAAACCGUCCGAAAAAACCGAAUUUCCGAAAUAUUAACACAUCUAAUUUUAUCCCUUCAGUGAAACGUGGUCGUUUGAGUAAUUUACUCUCACUCGCUGACUUUAGUCCCACACAAACCCUAAAAUCUAAUUUCAUUUUUCCUCUCUCACUCACAUAGCACAGCCGCCAUAGCCCUAAUAUCCAAUUUCCAUUUUCAAUUCCUCUCACACAGUUGUAUGCUUCCUAUUCAUUUUUCUUUCCCUAUCUCACAAAGCUACAUGCUUCUCAUUCAAUUUUUCUUUCCAUUUCAUGAUGGCCAACGACGCAAUUAAGUCCCUUAUUUGAGAAUAAUUUUGUCAAUCCCUAAUCUGAAGGACAAUUUCAAGAUGAUGUGUGAGGCUGUGUACAAUUUGUAGCUGUUGCUUUAAGGAUGUAGAACUGCUGUUUUGAAGAUUCGAUUAUAGAAUUUCUAUUAGAAAUUGUUGAAUUUGUAUUUCUGUAUUUGAACUUUGAAGUAUUUUUGAAUUUGUUUUAUUGUAUAUGGAUUUGUUAGUUUGAAGGUGUAUGAAUUUGUAAAAAUGCAGUUUUAAUUGUGAAAAAAGAGCAGGUUUUAUGAAUAUUA